UACGAAGGGUGCAAACGUUGCUCGGAAUUAUUGGGCGUAAAGCGCGCGUAGGCGGCUUGGCAAGUCGGGUGUGAAAUCCCUCGGCUCAACCAAGGAAGUGCAUCCGAAACUGCUGAGCUUGAGUACUUAAGAGGAUCGCGGAAUUCCCGGUGUAGAGGUGAAAUUCGUAGAUAUCGGGAGGAGCACCAGUGGCGAAGGCGGCGAUCUGGGAAGAUACUGACGCUGAGGUGCGAAAGCGUGGGGAGCAAACAGG
This 253-nucleotide ribosomal RNA is filed under the name uncultured bacterium. Its description in RNAcentral is "partial 16S ribosomal RNA". It matches the Rfam family "Bacterial small subunit ribosomal RNA", at positions 524 to 776 of the family's 1533-position model. The record is from RNAcentral.